Molecule: small nucleolar RNA, 95 nt
Organism: Zingiber officinale
Lineage: Eukaryota; Viridiplantae; Streptophyta; Magnoliopsida; Zingiberales; Zingiberaceae
Product: small nucleolar RNA Z266
Exons: 1
Source: RefSeq, a predicted model, not a curated record
UCUUGGCAGGCAUCAUGAAUCAAUUAGAUGUGCUUAGUAUUUCGGUUCUAAUGAGCUAAAAUUUUGAGGCAUAAUAAGACUCUGACCUGCCAAUU